GCCCGUUUGGUCUAAUGGUAUGAUGGUUGCUUAGGGUGCAAUUGAUUUAGGUUCGAUUCCUAAAUCGGGUA
RNAcentral lists this transfer RNA (71 nucleotides) under Hepatospora eriocheir. It matches the Rfam family "tRNA". Rfam says of the family: Transfer RNA (tRNA) molecules are approximately 80 nucleotides in length. The record is from Rfam by way of RNAcentral. Lineage: Eukaryota; Fungi; Microsporidia; Hepatosporidae.